RNAcentral lists this transfer RNA (72 nucleotides) under Nocardia wallacei. RNAcentral's name for it is "tRNA-Arg". It matches the Rfam family "tRNA". From Rfam's summary of the family: Transfer RNA (tRNA) molecules are approximately 80 nucleotides in length. Their secondary structure includes four short double-helical elements and three loops (D, anti-codon, and T loops). Further hydrogen bonds mediate the characteristic L-shaped molecular structure. tRNAs have two regions of fundamental functional importance: the anti-codon, which is responsible for specific mRNA codon recognition, and the 3' end, to which the tRNAs corresponding amino acid is attached (by aminoacyl-tRNA synthetases). tRNAs cope with the degeneracy of the genetic code in two manners: having more than one tRNA (with a specific anti-codon) for a particular amino acid; and 'wobble' base-pairing, i.e. permitting non-standard base-pairing at the 3rd anti-codon position. The record is from RNAcentral. Lineage: Bacteria; Bacillati; Actinomycetota; Actinomycetes; Mycobacteriales; Nocardiaceae.
GUGCCCGUAGCUCAGCGGAGAGAGCACCUGACUCCGGAUCAGGUUGGAGGUUCGAGUCCUCUCGGGGCACAC